Molecule: long non-coding RNA, 357 nt
Organism: Brachypodium distachyon (stiff brome)
Lineage: Eukaryota; Viridiplantae; Streptophyta; Magnoliopsida; Poales; Poaceae
Exons: 2
Source: RefSeq, a predicted model, not a curated record
UGAGGUCCCGGAGCACGGAGUAGAUGGAGCUGAACACGUUCAGGUAUGCCGCCGUGCCCACGUUGCCCUUGUCCGGCGGGAAGCUGAACACGGUGAUGGCUAGCCUCUUGUCCUCCUGCAGCAAACACAAGCAAAUCAGCAAGGAGUAGAAAUUCAGACAGUUGGCAUUUCUUUGCUAAACCUCGUAUUGUGCACCACAACCUACUUCUGAUUAAACCUGGCGUGAUGAUAAUUAUAGUUCUGAAAUUUGACUUUUCAUCAUUUAUUUGUGGUGUCCAUAUGUACAAGAUAUUGUUCGAUGGCACAAGAUCAAAACGUUAAUUGAUUGACUGAAUGAGCAGUUCCAGUUUUCAGUAA